GAUGAACGCUGGCGGCGUGCUUAACACAUGCAAGUCGAACGAUGAAGCCCAGCUUGCUGGGUGGAUUAGUGGCGAACGGGUGAGUAACACGUGAGUAACCUGCCCUUAACUCUGGGAUAAGCCUGGGAAACUGGGUCUAAUACAGAAUAGGAGCGACCACCGCCUGGAGGGUGUUGGAAAGAUUUAUCGGUUUUGUAUGGACUCGCGGCCUAUCAGCUUGUUAGUGAGGUAAUGGCUCACCAAGGCGACGACGGGUAGCCGGCCUGAGAGGGUGACCGGCCACACUGGGACUGAGACACGGCGCAGACUCCUACGGGCGGCAGCAGUGGGGAAUAUUGCACAAUGGGCGCAAGCCUGAUGCAGCGACGCCGCGUGCGGGAUGACGGCCUUCGGGUUGUAAACCUCUUUCAGUAGAGAAGAAGCGAAAGUGACGGUACCUGCAGAAGAAGCACCGGCUAACUACGUG
Molecule: ribosomal RNA, 466 nt
Filed under: uncultured bacterium
Lineage: Bacteria
Description: partial 16S ribosomal RNA
Rfam family: Bacterial small subunit ribosomal RNA
Source: RNAcentral